This 475-nucleotide ribosomal RNA is filed under the name uncultured bacterium. RNAcentral describes it as "bacterial SSU rRNA". It matches the Rfam family "Bacterial small subunit ribosomal RNA", at positions 107 to 598 of the family's 1533-position model. The record is from RNAcentral.
UGAGUAACACGUGAGCAACCUGCCCGACAAACCGGGAUAACAGCGGGAAACUGCUGCUAAUACCGGAUACACCAGGUAUGGCGCAUGCUGUAUCUGGGAAAGGGUUUACCGAUGUCGGAUGGGCUCGCGUCCCAUUAGCUAGUUGGUGAGGUAACGGCUCACCAAGGCGACGAUGGGUAGCUGGUCUGAGAGGACGAUCAGCCACACUGGAACUGAGACACGGUCCAGACUCCUACGGGAGGCAGCAGUGGGGAAUCUUGCACAAUGGGCGAAAGCCUGAUGCAGCGACGCCGCGUGGAGGAUGAAGGCCUUCGGGUCGUAAACUCCUGUCUGGGGGGAUGAACACUGACAGUACCCCCGGAGGAAGCCCCGGCUAACUACGUGCCAGCAGCCGCGGUAAUACGUAGGGGGCGAGCGUUGUCCGGAAUUACUGGGCGUAAAGCGCGCGCAGGCGGCCUAUUAAGUCAGGUGUUAA